RNAcentral lists this transfer RNA (73 nucleotides) under Paramuricea clavata. It matches the Rfam family "tRNA". From Rfam's summary of the family: Transfer RNA (tRNA) molecules are approximately 80 nucleotides in length. Lineage: Eukaryota; Metazoa; Cnidaria; Anthozoa; Malacalcyonacea; Plexauridae. The record is from Rfam by way of RNAcentral.
GACCACGUAGCUCAGUUGGAAGAGCAUUGGGCUAGUAUUCCAAAGGUCGUAGGUUCAAAUCCCACCGUGGCCG